RNAcentral lists this ribosomal RNA (406 nucleotides) under uncultured bacterium. RNAcentral's name for it is "partial 16S ribosomal RNA". It matches the Rfam family "Bacterial small subunit ribosomal RNA", at positions 30 to 526 of the family's 1533-position model. The record is from RNAcentral.
AUUGAACGCUGGCGGCAGGCUUAACACAUGCAAGUCGAGCGAGCGGCGGACGGGUGAGUAAUGUCUGGGAAACUGCCUGAUGGAGGGGGAUAACUACUGGAAACGGUAGCUAAUACAGCAUACAAUCAGAUGUGCCCAGAUGGGAUUAGCUAGUAGGUGGGGUAAUGGCUCACCUAGGCGACGAUCACUAGCUGGUCUGAGAGGAUGAACAGACACACUGGAACGUAGACAAGGUCCAGCCUCCUACGGGAGGCAUCAGUGGGGAAUAUUGCACAAUUGGCGCAAGCCUGAUGCAGCCAUGCCGCGUGUGUGUAGAAGGCCUUCGGUUUGUAAAGCACUUUCAGCGAGGAGGCGUUGCUCGCAGAAGAAGCACCGGCUAACUCCGUGCCAGCAGCCGCGGUAAUAC